AUAAAUGGCGAAGCUUUCGAGCCUAGCUUUUAUACCAUCCUAUACACCUGUGAACUAUUUGCCUUCGGGCACUUUACCAAACAUAAUGUAAUGAAUGUAAUCUACUAUAAACAAAUA
Molecule: unclassified non-coding RNA, 117 nt
Filed under: uncultured Basidiomycota
Lineage: Eukaryota; Fungi; Basidiomycota
Description: sequence contains ITS1
Source: RNAcentral